CCCCAGCUGAGUUUGGGGUGAGGGGAGAGCACAGCUCACAGAAGCCAGGUUUACACAGACCACCCCAACCGAGGGGGGAGGAGGAGGUUUCAGGUGUGUAGUGUAACCUCUGGUCAGAGGCAGUGAACACCCAUCCUCUAUUACACAAACCGGCCCGGCUGUGGAACGCCCAACCCCACAGGGCGCAUCCGCGGGACUUUCCCGUGAGAGAGCUGAGGGGGAGUCAUAACCCCCCGAAGUGCUCCCCGGAGGCUUUGCACCCCCGGUGCAGCAGAUCCCGAGUCUGCUGUGAGAGACUGCCCGCCUCCCCCAGGGGGACAUGCCUGGAUAUUGCCUUCUUGCUCGACGCCAUUGGAUUCUAUGCUUUUUGGGGGGACCUUCACCACCAAGAAGACCAGCUGGAGAGGAUUAACGAAUAUCAUCGGGAUCCAUGGAGUGGUGUGAACAGAGUUCAAGCUUUCAGUCUCACCAAAGGAAAAAACAACCUGAUGGUCUUACAGAUGUAUAACAUUAUGAAGCUCAAACACACAGUAAAAACAAUGACUCCCUGGAGUUUUGCAGAGGAAUGGGGAAAACAAAGCUUUCUUCGGAUUUUCUUCUCCUAUGGCCCUCUCUGAACAUGGGUGACAAGACCUGUGUGUGCAAGUACUCUACAUAACAUCUAAUUUUAUGGGUCAUCACAUGUUACUCCAAUGGACAAAGAAAAAAAUCAAGCAGAAGUAGCUGCCUUCAGUACAGAAGAAGACUGUGGAACAUAACAGAAAUGCAGAAAAGCUCCAGUUUUAGUUGGAUGCAAUUUUUCUGGCACUGCACGGUAUUGACUGCAUCCAGUCUUUUUUAGGUCAUUCCAUAGUAGAGAGCUGUGAAUAAAUGGGUUGAAUAAUUGAUUUCAGGCAUUAUGUCCCUUAGAGUUGCAGUCUGACAGAGUUGUGUUAUGUGUUUACCACUUUUUGAACUGGCUUCUUGUUCAGCAGCACCUGUUUGGAGAUUCUUCCUGGCAAUUUUGGACACUUUCCUCAUAGAGAUAUAUCCUACAUCAGUUAAUCUUGGAGACUUAGACUAGUAUUCCUCAGAACAAAGAUAGCAUGGUAAAAUUUGAGUUCCAUUUGACUUUCUUCACAGACCUUUCAUAUUUUGAGGUUUGCCUUUUGAAAUACAAUUUCACCUCUUCUUGGAACCAGAGAAUUGAAGACUAUGCUUAUUUUUUUCAGCUAACAGAACACAUUUCAAAUUAUUUAAUAUUGAAUAAAAUGUUAUUGUCCUCAUCUGAAGAAAUAAGACAGUACAACUAUCCCAGAUUUACCGGCAAUCAAAUGUACUUAACUGCCAUUUGAACCCAGGUCUCUUCCAAUAGUGAAUCCACUCUAUGGAGGAAAAGACGCUCUCAGAGACGUGUGUCUAAAUGUGUACAGUAAGUUCUUCGAGUAUAACUUUCUUUUCUAGUCCUUUAUCCUUAUUAUAACUAUAUUUUCUAGUUCUUUAUCCUGAUGCUCAGUGCAGAAACAAUAGACCCUUGAAAUCUCUUAUAUGGCUGUAGCAUGUUCCCUAUAGACAAGGACAAUUUAAAUGAAUAAAAUAUAAAUGAAAGCUAUAUUGAAUGAAAAAUUAAGAAACCUGUUGCUCGCCAUUACACAAGGACUUACGAAGAAUAGGAUCUAUAAAAAGGCAUAGAUCAUUUAAUGAAAAUGAGAGUGGACAUUGGCAGUGUUCAUUCUUUGCUAAUAUCAGCCAAAGAAUCAUAUUGCUAUUGAAAGAUUUCUAUGGUGGACAGAGAAUAAAGACAUAAGGGGAUACUGUAUUAGUGAACAAGGAAUAAUGUUAUAAGGAAACACAUAGCAAUUCACGGAGAGAACAGGUAAACAGUAGAACUUAUUAGAAAAUUAAAUAUGUUCUUUGCCUCACUGUCCUCUGAGCUGGUUGGUGAUUUGGUGGCAGUGAAUUAGAUGUCCUAAUUUAGUGUAAGAUGAAUUAAGGUUACUGUAAAGGGCAUUCAGCCAAGUAGCUUGAAUGUUCAUGCCUACAUUGCACAGUUCAAUACUUGGCAGACGGAAUUAUCUCCUGUAAUUCAAACUAAUUGAGCAGAGACCCAAGAUCACCACUUUUGGGAGAGCUCUGAAAUAUGGAAAAGAGGAAAGGCUGAGCUUCUGCUGCCUCUUCACAAAGGCCUCAGAGCACACUUACCUGAGGGGUGGAUGGGCAUGUCCUGGGUGUACUGUCCUUUUUAGGGAGAUCUUGUAGCGAUGUCAGCAAUGGGAAGACACGGAUGGUGUUGUACUAUGGAAUACAGACGACUCAAAGUGAGUUAGCCAAGGUCAUUCCAAGAGGGUUGUCAUGUUGCUUAGCCUUGGAUCCAGUGGGGAGUCAGAUGAGGGCUGAGAUUUGCCUUUGUCUCUUUGCAAACUUGGACUUUGUAAAAUUAUAUAAGCAAAUGGUGAACAUGGACAUAUUGCUCUAAAGCCCUGCUUCUAUCAUUGUACAUCCUUAAACUGAGUUGCUGUGGUCUCAGGUGGGCUUCACUAUGCAUUUAUGUUCUGUUUAAAUGUAUUUUAUAUUCAAACAAAUGGCAAUGUAAGUUUUAUUGCUACCAGAAAGCACAAACAGGAGAUUUCUACCUAAAGGAGAUUCCAACUUCCUUAAUAUUUAGCCUAAAAUGAUUCUUCUUUAAUGAAAGGGUUUGGUUGAAGGCUUUGAGUACAUAUAAGUGGUACAUUUCUCCCAAUCAUAACAUUCAUUAUUUUCAAUCUGUAAUAUGCAUAUUUCAUUUAAAAAAUACAUAAAAAUGCUCAAAAUCCUUGAUUACUCAGGAAUUAUGUGCAAUGAAUUUAUGAGAUAAUGUUUUCAGGCUUGUCAAUAAAGCCUAAACCCCCGCUGUGCUGAAGCUUAUGUCAUGUGCUGCACACACAUUUCUAGCACGAUAUUAUGACCUGGCUUUACCUUCCUGCAUUUAACUCUUAUCAAAUGAGUCAUUUAUCCUAUACUAAAAGCACCAAAGGAGCAAAAAGCCGCAAUUGAUAAUAUCAUAAUAAAACAGAGCUGCAGGAAUUAUUUAGAUUGUUAUUUAGAGCAAAUAACAAUCUGCAAGUACUAGAAGAGUCACGUGGAGCACAGGUCUGACUGCUGACUUGGGAGUAGCAUUUGGUUAAAUGGAUGCUCUUCCAGUUAUGUGGUUAGAGGAAAACAUUUUUCGGUACCUCUCAAACACUUUUUCUAAUUUUUGGUAGAAAACAAAACCCAGUGCAUGUCUGCUGAGCAGAAAAUUUAAGCAGCUGAACAUAUACCCCAAAAUUGAAUUGUAGAUGAUUAGCAGAUAGAACCUGGCAACAGAAUCACUGAUGUGAAAGGGGAAAUGUUUUCCAAGAAAGCAAUAUAUUUAGGACGGGGAAGGCAUUUAGUAGACACAGUAAGGAUUCUUUCAUUUAAACCCCACUAUAUGUUUGCACAUUUCAGCUGGUAUAUCUAAUUUGUGAUCAACAUUUCACCUACUCUAUGGAAACAGCUUUGGCAGUUCCAACUCUCCCCAGUCUUAUGACCUCAUCAGACCUCAGGGAUUCAGAGGUCUCUCACGUUUUGUAUGCUGAUAAUUUUGCAGGGGAAGUAAAGCAGUAAAAGAAACAAGCUUCAAGUUACUUUAAAAUACACCCAGAGUAGUGUCUUAUAUCAGCAAUUUUUAUAUCCAGUCCUUAUUUUAAAAUUGCAAAUAAAUAUGCCUUAUAUACUAGAGACUUAAAAGUGAUUGUAGAUGAAGUUUUGGGUCUCCCUUGAUGUACAACUCUCAUUUUGAUAACAAAAGGUAUUAUCCCUUUAAUUUUCUGUAUCUCUUACUACUGUAUCUUAUAGUCUCUCUUUAAAAAUCUGUGUUUGCAGUCUCUUCUCUGUUUUCAUUUCUUUCAAUCACACACAAAUAUUAGUGUUACCUCAAUGAAGGCAAGUCUUCGAUAAUUCUGUCAGAUAAAGAUUUCCUCUUCUCAUUAUGCUGCUUCUAAAUUCUAACAAACAAGAAGUACAGUUAUUUAGCUGUUUACCAGGCCCAAAUGUGUUUCAGUGCUUAAGCAAACACAGUUGGGAGCAUGAUAACUGUAAUGGAGGAAAAAAACAACUCUAAUAUAAGUGAAGCUGUGUUUCUUCCACUCACCUUAAAUUACUACAUACGAGUUAGUUACUUACAAAAUCAUUUUUUUAACAGCCAAAUACAAAAUCCCACUUGUAGUCAUGACUUUUAUAAAUUUUAUAAAUUUUUAAAUAAAUAUUUUUAUUUAAAAAUAAAAGCUUUUUUAAAUUUUCCAUUGUUUUAACAGUUUUCCGUUCAGACACCAAGUAAAUGGUCUAAUUUCUUAGAGUAGCUGUUUAUAUAGACUUAAAUCUAAGCUUAGGCUGUCUAAAUACCUGCAGCAAAAUCUUGUUCUUCUAGUUUCAAACAAUUUUGUGCUGCAGACUUUAGUGGAAAGGGUGGAUAUAUUAAAUGGAUUUAAGAAAAUGCACAAUAUGCUUUGAAAUGCUUUAUACCAUUGCUGAGAAUUUGAUGAUUUUUCAGACUAUUUGCACAGAUUCUGGAAUGGGGACUUGAGGUGGAUCGACAUUAAAAACUCACUAUGAACAACAGAGUUGGAAAGCUACCUGAAACAGGAAUUAUUCUGUAAACUAAGGCGGCUGUCUUUCUCAUCCCACCAAGAAUAGAUAAGUGUGAAUCCAUUUUUCUUCUAAAAAUGCAGAAAUUAAGGUGUUACAGGAACACUGUAGGAAGGAGGCAUGUAGUAAGCAAGUAAAAGAAUCAGAGUAAUUGAAUGUAGCUUGAAAAAAUGUAGAGAAUGACGAGUUGGAGAUCUUUUAUAAAACAAUGCACACAAACUAGGUGGGAAGCAGCAGAUGCCUAGAAAGAAGUGAUAUUAUAGUAGAUAGUGGAAAAGCACAUGUGCAUAUAAUAUUUGUUUUCCUUUCAAAGCUGCCCUUUUAUUCUUUCCCUGGUUUGUAUUAAAACCUGAAGCAUGUGAAUAAUGCAAAUAGGAAAAUGUUGCACUGUAAUGUUGAUUCAGUAACACUUUAUAUGCUCAUUAGCUGUGUACGUUAUAGUGAACUCUCUUACGUGUGACAGCCACAGGAAUGGCAAAUGAGUACAUUAUGAUAAAUGCUGUUAUGAUGAAUACCAAAUGAAUUUCUAGUGACUGCACAUUUCCCAUUUCCCCAUUGAUUCCAUGGCAUGCAAAGUUUUGAUUCUUUUUAAAAAUAGGAUUUGAAGAAGUGAUGUGGGAGGCUUAUUGUAUCGUAACAUGAAACAUGCUUAGCUGGAGCUAAGUUAUUCUCUGAGGCUUCAUGACAAUUUUGUUAACUUUUUAAAACAAGCAACAGGUAAAGAAACUAUUUUCCUAGAAACUGAAAGCAAAUGAAGGAUUAUUCACUUGCACCCCUUGUAAGAUUCACUCGACAGAAGUCCAUGGAUGCUAAUCAGCCAUCAUAAGGAAAAGGAAAUGGGGAUAACUGCUAAAGCAAUAAGUCAUUUUUCAUUUUGCAAACCAUGGCUCUGGAAUGAUGGGAAAAUAGAAGUAAAAAAUUUUAUUGUUGUCAUGCUUGGAUUAAAUGUUGCUUGA
Molecule: long non-coding RNA, 5582 nt
Organism: Corvus hawaiiensis (hawaiian crow)
Lineage: Eukaryota; Metazoa; Chordata; Aves; Passeriformes; Corvidae
Exons: 4
Source: RefSeq, a predicted model, not a curated record